AGUGAACGCUGGCGGUAGGCCUAACACAUGCAAGUCGAACGGCAGCACAGUAAGAGCUUGCUCUUACGGGUGGCGAGUGGCGGACGGGUGAGGAAUACAUCGGAAUCUACUUUUUCGUGGGGGAUAACGUAGGGAAACUUACGCUAAUACCGCAUACGACCUACGGGUGAAAGCAGGGGAUCUUCGGACCUUGCGCGAUUGAAUGAGCCGAUGUCGGAUUAGCUAGUUGGCGGGGUAAAGGCCCACCAAGGCGACGAUCCGUAGCUGGUCUGAGAGGAUGGUCAGCCACACGGGAACUGGGACACGGUCCAGACUCCUACGGGAGGCAGCAGUGGGGAAUAUUGGACAAUGGGCGCAAGCCUGAUCCAGCCAUACCGCGUGGGUGAAGAAGGCCUUCGGGUUGUAAAGCCCUUUUGUUGGGAAAGAAAAGCAGCAGGUUAAUACCCCGCUGUUCUGACGGUACCCAAAGAAUAAGCACCGGCUAACUUCGUG
RNAcentral lists this ribosomal RNA (492 nucleotides) under uncultured bacterium. RNAcentral's name for it is "partial 16S ribosomal RNA". It matches the Rfam family "Bacterial small subunit ribosomal RNA", at positions 29 to 507 of the family's 1533-position model. The record is from RNAcentral.